UAGAGGGUGAGAAUCCCGUCCUUGACAUGGACCCCCGGUGCUCUGUGAUACACUUUCAACGAGUCGAGUUGUUUGGGAAUGCAGCUCAAAAUGGGUGGUGAAUUCCAUCUAAAGCUAAAUAUUGGCGAGAGACCGAUAGCGAACAAGUACCGUGAGGGAAAGAUGAAAAGCACUUUGGAAAGAGAGUUAAACAGUACGUGAAAUUGUUGAAAGGGAAACGAUUGAAGUCAGUCAUGCUCUUUGGUAUUUAUAUCAUUGAGUGGGGUCAACAUCAGUUUUGAGCGAUGGAUAAAGGCACUAGGAAGGUAGCACUCUCGGGUGAACUUAUAGCCUAGCGUCAUAUACAUUGUUUGGGACUGAGGAACGCAGCAUGCCUUUAUGGCCGGGAUUCGUCCACGUACAUGCUAGGAUGU
RNAcentral lists this ribosomal RNA (413 nucleotides) under Naganishia diffluens. Its description in RNAcentral is "eukaryotic LSU rRNA". It matches the Rfam family "Eukaryotic large subunit ribosomal RNA", at positions 206 to 626 of the family's 3401-position model. The record is from RNAcentral. Lineage: Eukaryota; Fungi; Basidiomycota; Tremellomycetes; Filobasidiales; Filobasidiaceae.